CUUGUUGCUACUCUCUCUGUACACAUACCAAAACAAUAAGAAGAAAUGAUAGAUGAGGUAUACUUUUUCAGGCCUGAACCCUAUAUGUUGGCAUGUGGCAAGAAAUUAUUUAUUUUUUAAAGUGUAUUCUUCUUAUUUUACCUAGUACAAUUAUUUUCACCGUUCAAAAGCUUUACUUUUCUACAUUAGUUUAGAACUAUAGAUUUUUAGACCUUGUCUUUGCCCUUUAUAUCCUUUGCAUUGGUUAAGCUCCUCAUUUAUGAUUAAUUGUCCUUUCUUCAUUACUUAUGUGGACCUUUAUUUAUAAUUUAUUUGGGUUGUUUGUUUGAUAUACUUGUGUAUUUGUCAAGGAUUCCAUUUCCUCUAAUUGGAUAGUUAUUAUUUUUUAUGUAAAAAUCCACUAAUAUACUUUUUUUAACUUUUUUUUGAAUGGAAUGUUUUUUUGUUAUGUCAUAUUAGUCAUUUGAGUAUAUUUUGUUUUAUGAACUAGAAUAGUAAUUCUAGUGAAUGACUUAGUAGCAACUAAUUAGGAAAGGAUUGAUUGUGUGGGCAUUCCUACAUUUAUUGUCCAAGUUGAAUAAGGUCCCUUGAACUAGAAAAUAUUAAUUUUAUACAUUAAAUUUUUACCUAAACGUCACCAUGAGCGCCCAAUCUCUAGUGACAGUGAAGCCAUAGCUUGCUGCCUCACGAAAUGCAUCCCUAAGAUACAUUGCAUGUUGCAUGCAUCAAAUGAUAGUCUCUGAAGCAAUUCUAUAGUAAAGAUUUACUAAUUCAAGAAUACAUAAACUUCUCCAGCUCCAAUUCUCUCUGUUUCGAAAGAACAUGGAUAUUUGAAGGAUGAAGGUUGAAUGUUUAAAGAACAAAGAAACUACCUGUAUACAUCUGUUUCAAUAGCAAAAGAAUAAGUUUUUGAGUGAAAUGAAAGAGGUUGCAAUGGAAAGUAUAGGAAAUUUUGUGAUAGUUGUGAGCUUGAAAUGAGUUGCGUUUCACACUUCCUCAGAUGAUUGGUCUACCAACUAAAUGAUGGACAUAAGUAUGGAAGGAAGUAGUACAUUAUAAGAUUGAAAUUAAAGAGUUUCAGACUUCUAAGACUUUUCAAAAUGAGCAGUAGUUGAUUUACUACCCAUUUAAUUAACCCAUAAGAAAUAUUGAAGUUUAGAAUUAGUUAUUUACUAAAAGUUUAUCAUUUGAGUCAAACUAAUAUGCCAGACGCUCUAAGAUGUGAAGGGCUUAUGGAGCCUAGGAGUAGGGUGCAUGCCAGCAAAGAAACACACCUUUGAGACAGAGAAUGUCAAUACCUCUCUUUUGAGUGUGGAAAACAAUAUUCUAGAUUUCUUAGAUUCCAUUGAAAAAAAUAAAUAGGGAAAAAGAAAUAGCUGAUGAAAGGUGAAGAAAACGGAGGACAAGAGAGUGGAAGAGUAGAGGAGAGGGAGGAUGGGAAAGAGGGAAAAAAGAAGAGAAAGAAAUCAGAGAGAAAGAGAGAGAGAUAUGGUAACCCCGACCCCUCGGGAUCUAGAGAAUGCAUAUUAAAUUCCACGUUCGCAAAAAAAUAAUUAAAA
RNAcentral lists this unclassified non-coding RNA (1559 nucleotides) under Hevea brasiliensis (rubber tree). The record is from RNAcentral. Lineage: Eukaryota; Viridiplantae; Streptophyta; Magnoliopsida; Malpighiales; Euphorbiaceae.